AUCACUUCUUGGCCUUUUGGCUAAGAUCAAGUGUAGAAUAUAUUUAUGUUCAAUUCAAGAAAUUAUUAGACAAAAACGAUGGUAAGAAUCUUA
Small nuclear RNA from Oryctolagus cuniculus (rabbit), 93 nucleotides. Its record names the gene U2. It matches the Rfam family "U2 spliceosomal RNA". Rfam says of the family: U2 is a small nuclear RNA (snRNA) component of the spliceosome (involved in pre-mRNA splicing). Complementary binding between U2 snRNA (in an area lying towards the 5' end but 3' to hairpin I) and the branchpoint sequence (BPS) of the intron results the bulging out of an unpaired adenosine, on the BPS, which initiates a nucleophilic attack at the intronic 5' splice site, thus starting the first of two transesterification reactions that mediate splicing. The record is from Ensembl. NCBI's taxonomy places the organism in Eukaryota, Metazoa, Chordata, Mammalia, Lagomorpha, Leporidae.